RNAcentral lists this unclassified non-coding RNA (458 nucleotides) under Hevea brasiliensis (rubber tree). Lineage: Eukaryota; Viridiplantae; Streptophyta; Magnoliopsida; Malpighiales; Euphorbiaceae. The record is from RNAcentral.
UGACCACAUUGCCACUGGUUUUGCAUAUCUGGGCAUGUGUAUCUCUGGAGCAUCCGUGCCUGCAAAUUGUUUUGCCUCUUUCAAUAUGAGUUCAGCUAUACAUGGGCAAAAAGGCAUUGUUCUGCAUGCUUCUCAAGUUUCUUCUUGUCCAGAUGCACAGUUGGUUUCCUGUUCACAAGUGCAUCACAAUACUUAUUGCUCAAAUCAGCCAUUUUCAAAUUCCAAGGCAGUGAACCUUGAUACGACAUACCUUGAUACACCAUUCUCUCUACCGUCACGGGAAGAUUCUUGUUGGAUGUUUGAGGAUGAUAAAGGGAGGAAACAUGGACCACAUUCUCUUCAGGAACUUUAUUCCUGGCAUCAGUAUGGAUAUCUCGGGGAUUCAUUAAUGAUAUAUCAUAAUGAAAAUAAGUUUAGACCCUUGCCAUUGCUAUCUGUUAUCAAUGCUUGGAGAAUGG